Long non-coding RNA from Gopherus flavomarginatus (Mexican gopher tortoise), 283 nucleotides. RefSeq lists it as uncharacterized. The transcript is spliced from 3 exons. The record is from RefSeq and is a predicted model, not a curated record. Lineage: Eukaryota; Metazoa; Chordata; Testudines; Testudinidae.
AUUCAGUCUGCAGAAGAGCAGAGUGAGGGGGGAUUUGAUAGCAGCCUUCAACUACCUGAAGGGAGGUACCAGAGAGGAUGGAGCUCGGCUGUUCUCAGUGGUGGCAGAUGACAGAACAAGGAGCAAUGGUCUCAAGUUGCAGUGGGGGAGGUUUAGGUUGGAUAUUAGGAAACACUAUUUCACUAGAAGGGUGGUGAAGCACUGGAAUGGGUUCCCUAGGGAGAUGGUGGAAUCUCCUUCCUUGGAGUUUUUUAAGGCCCAGCUUGACAAAGCCCUGGCUGGG